Molecule: ribosomal RNA, 566 nt
Filed under: uncultured archaeon
Lineage: Archaea
Description: bacterial SSU rRNA
Rfam family: Archaeal small subunit ribosomal RNA
Source: RNAcentral
GGGGUGCAGCAGGCGCGAAAACUUUACAAUGCCGGAAACAGCGAUAAGGGGACCUCGAGUGCCAGGUUACAAAUCUGGCUGUCGUGAUGCCUAAAAAGCAUUGCAUAGCAAGGGCCGGGCAAGACCGGUGCCAGCCGCCGCGGUAACACCGGCGGCUCGAGUGGUAACCGUUAUUAUUGGGUCUAAAGGGUCUGUAGCCGGCCGGAUAAGUCUCUUGGGAAAUCCAGCAGCUCAACUGUUGGGCUUUCAGGAGAUACUGUCUGGCUCGAGGCCGGGAGAGGUGAGAGGUACUUCAGGGGUAGGGGUGAAAUCUUGUAAUCCUUGAAGGACCACCAGUGGCGAAGGCGUCUCACCAGAACGGACCUGACGGCAAGGGACGAAAGCUAGGGGCACGAACCGGAUUAGAUACCCGGGUAGUCCUAGCCGUAAACGAUACUCGCUAGGUGUCGACCACGGUGCGACCGUUGUCGGUGCCGUAGGGAAGCCGUGAAGCGAGCCACCUGGGAAGUACGGCCGCAAGGCUGAAACUUAAAGGAAUUGGCGGGGGAGCACAAGGGCGAUUCGCG